This 231-nucleotide long non-coding RNA is filed under the name Solanum tuberosum (potato). RNAcentral's name for it is "long non-coding RNA (STUB_LNC000852)". The record is from RNAcentral. Lineage: Eukaryota; Viridiplantae; Streptophyta; Magnoliopsida; Solanales; Solanaceae.
AAUUCCCGAAAUAGGUCGAAAACAUGAUUUCUUAACACCUAUGCAGGAUUCAAUAACUACCCAACCCAAAUCCUACUAAUCAACAUGCAUUCACAUUCUCGAGCUCAAUCUAAGAGAGGAAAACCGUAGCCUACCUGUAGGCCGAUCACACGCGCUCCAAAAUCACUCCUUCGGAGCUUUCCCUUUUUGAACGGUCUCGAAACGCUUCCCUGCUAUCAAAAAUAGAAUCAC